Long non-coding RNA from Rhinichthys klamathensis goyatoka, 677 nucleotides. RefSeq lists it as uncharacterized. Lineage: Eukaryota; Metazoa; Chordata; Actinopteri; Cypriniformes; Leuciscidae. The record is from RefSeq and is a predicted model, not a curated record. The transcript is spliced from 3 exons.
UCAGGCUGUCCGGCAUCCUGCGAUUCUCCGUUCACCAUCCCUCCAUCUGUUCACUCCAUCCACAUCUCGCAUCUCCAUACUGAUGAAAACCACAGCAAACAUCCUCAAGAAAACAUCAAACAAGAAAAUCGAUCCAACUGUGGAGGGAUAAUCAAAUCAGCAGAGAGUGCAGAUGUUCUCCCCAGCUGGCCAGAUGUCUAUAGAGAGAGGUGACUCAGUUGUGGUGAUGUGAGAAGAGGAUCUGUUAUUGAUGUUAACCACGUUGGGCACUCAGCCAGCGCAUUCCACCCAGAUGCCCACAGGUGAUUGGCCAGUGCGACUUGGCAGCUCAGAUCCAACCAAAGGGGUUGCUGUGAGUGACCUUGGCAGAUGGUCAGAGCCAAAGCUGUAUCAGCCACCUCGGGUCAUUUUUAACGCAUUUCCCAAUUUAUUCACUGUCUCUCCCUCCUCUCUGUCAUCCUCUAUCUUUCUAUCUCUCUGUUUGGUGAUUUUUUUAAAGAGAUGAUAUUGCUUCUGACUGUAAUACCUUCUGAGGGUGACCGUGUUUCAUUUUAUUCGAUGUGCAUAAGAACUUCUCAUAUCGAAAUAUUAACCCCAAUUCAACCUCUUCAUAAUUUCAGUCUGAAACAGGACACGCUUAUAUAUGUAUUUUUUUUUCAUGUAUGUGUGUUCUUGAU